Anopheles bellator is the source of this 1214-nucleotide long non-coding RNA. RefSeq lists it as uncharacterized. The record is from RefSeq and is a predicted model, not a curated record. Lineage: Eukaryota; Metazoa; Arthropoda; Insecta; Diptera; Culicidae. The transcript is spliced from 3 exons.
GCACCAUUCUGCCGAAAAGAAAGAAACCGAGCAACGCGGGCGGUAACGUAAACAGGAAGUCGUUUCUUUCCGCCCGGUGUGUGCUUUUGCAUCCGUUUCUAGUAAGCGCCGGGCUUUUCAGCCCAUGUGUUACAAGCUGCUCGAAGAGGACUUAACGGUUUCCAGAAGAAAAGGUUGAAGUGUGAAAAACAUCACUUUAACCUUUUCUUCCGGAAACCGCCACGUGGGCAACUGCACGAUCGUUCACGAAGUGUGUGACCUCACCGAUGCACCCGACUAUUAGGCAGCCGAAGGCACCCGAAGGCACCCGAAGAACGGCCGGAAAUGAUGGAAUUCAAAUCGAGAUGGAUAGACAGCGUGAUAGGGUACCAUCCGUAUGGACCAAGUGAGCGCAUGGCAUCGCAGCCCGACAACGAAUAUCGUACCACAUGCGCAGUUUUCCGAUGAUCCCACUCAACCCAAAGCCUAUAGGAAUAUCGUCCGAGCAGCAGAACACCGUCCAUCACUGUGCCGCGUGUGAUAUGAUCAUUUGUUUACAUCUUCGGAACAAGCAAGAGGUAGUGAGACUGUGCCGCGUGGCAGUGAUAUGAUCAUUUUUUUAAACCUUCGUAACAAGUGAGAGGUAGUGAAACCAAGUAAAAGUCCUAAGUAGAAAGCCUUUCCCACAAAGAAGUUGCACACAUGGGACAUAUAGUAUAGAGAAUUAUUAUUUUUAUUAUUAUUUAUUAUUACAAAAUGUUUGCCGUUCCGGCUUAACAAAUGCUCAAAGGAGAGAGAGAGAAAAAAAGAAAUACUUACAGACUAAAGAGGAAAGGUAUGUGUUGUUCUAUUAGUGUUUGCAGUACCUAAAAGCCACAAGUAUGUGAUCCCUGCCAAAAAUUUUUUUUCCUAUAAUUCUCGAGAAUAAAACAGCACUAGAGUAAGAGACUAUUUAUUAGUGCGAUGCUAUGUGUGAAAGAUGCUCUUAUCCACGACUCACUAUUUUUUGCACUAAGCUUCUCUUUUUCGCAAAUGUAAUUUUCAUUACAUCUUUAGCAAGAUAGUUCAUUCUUUCGAGCAAUAGCAAAGCCACUUUUUAAAGAAGAAGCAAUGUCAAGACAGGUUACACCGAAUGAUUAGAAAACGUUCCAUUGCAACGAUUAAUUCGUUUUUAAAAAAUCUAUUUAUUGUAUUUUUGUUUUAAAAUGACUGUGCUAAGUGCUUUUCACUUGGAU